Molecule: transfer RNA, 84 nt
Filed under: Neptunomonas japonica JAMM 1380
Lineage: Bacteria; Pseudomonadati; Pseudomonadota; Gammaproteobacteria; Oceanospirillales; Oceanospirillaceae
Description: tRNA-Tyr
Rfam family: tRNA
About the family: Transfer RNA (tRNA) molecules are approximately 80 nucleotides in length.
Source: RNAcentral
GGUGGGGUUCCCGAGUGGCUAAAGGGAUCAGACUGUAAAUCUGACGCGCAAGCUUCGGUGGUUCGAAUCCACCCCCCAUCACCA